UUUAAUGAGAGUUUGAUCCUGGCUCAGGACGAACGCUGGCGGCGUGCCUAAUACAUGCAAGUAGAACGCUGAGGUUUGGUGUUUACACUAGACUGAUGAGUUGCGAACGGGUGAGUAACGCGUAGGUAACCUGCCUCAUAGCGGGGGAUAACUAUUGGAAACGAUAGCUAAUACCGCAUAAGAGUAAUUAACACAUGUUAGUUAUUUAAAAGGAGCAAUUGCUUCACUGUGAGAUGGACCUGCGUUGUAUUAGCUAGUUGGUGAGGUAAAGGCUCACCAAGGCGACGAUACAUAGCCGACCUGAGAGGGUGAUCGGCCACACUGGGACUGAGACACGGCCCAGACUCCUACGGGAGGCAGCAGUAGGGAAUCUUCGGCAAUGGACGGAAGUCUGACCGAGCAACGC
Molecule: ribosomal RNA, 406 nt
Filed under: Streptococcus agalactiae
Lineage: Bacteria; Bacillati; Bacillota; Bacilli; Lactobacillales; Streptococcaceae
Description: bacterial SSU rRNA
Rfam family: Bacterial small subunit ribosomal RNA
Source: RNAcentral